UAGCAUUAUGCCAAAUAAACAUGCAGU
RNAcentral lists this non-coding RNA (27 nucleotides) under Homo sapiens (human). The record is from RNAcentral. Lineage: Eukaryota; Metazoa; Chordata; Mammalia; Primates; Hominidae.